This 70-nucleotide transfer RNA is filed under the name Marmota monax (woodchuck). RNAcentral describes it as "tRNA.Ala". The record is from RNAcentral. Lineage: Eukaryota; Metazoa; Chordata; Mammalia; Rodentia; Sciuridae.
GGGGUUGUGGCUCAGCGGUACAGUGUUCACCUAGCACUUGCAAGGCCUGGGUUCGAUCCUCAGCACCACA